Molecule: ribosomal RNA, 497 nt
Filed under: uncultured bacterium
Lineage: Bacteria
Description: partial 16S ribosomal RNA
Rfam family: Bacterial small subunit ribosomal RNA
Source: RNAcentral
GACGAACGCUGGCGGCGUGCCUAAUACAUGCAAGUUGAGCGCUGAAGGUUGGUUCUUGUCCCAACUGGAUGAGCAGCGGACGGGUGAGUCACGCGUGGGUAAUCUGCCUUUGAGCGGGGGACAACAUUAGGAAACGAAUGCUAAUACCGCAUAAAAACUUUAAACACAGGGUUUAAGUUUGAAAGAUGCAAUUGCAUCGCCCAAGGAUGAUCCCUCGUUUUAUUUGCUAGGUGGCGAGGUAAAGGCCCACCCAGGCGAAGGUACAUAGCCGACCUGAGAGGGUGGACGGCCAACUUGGGACCGGGACCACGCCCCAACUUCUUAGGGGAGCAGCCGUAGGGAAUCUUCGGCAAUUGAGGGAAGGCUGACCGCACAACGCCGGGGUAGGUGAGGAAGGUUUCGGGACGGAAAACUCUGUUAGUUGGGAAGAACGUGGGUUAGGGUGGAAAGCUCAUCAAGUGACGGUAACUACACAGAAAGCGACGGCUAACUACGUG